GCUACGGGUGGCAGCAGUGAGGAAUAUUGGUCAAUGGGCGCGAGCCUGAACCAGCUAAGUAGCGUGAAGGAUGACUGCCCUACGGGUUGUAAACUUCUUUUAUAAAGGAAUAAAGUGAGGCACGUGUGCCUUUUUGUAUUUACUUUAUGAAUAAGGAUAGGCUAACUCCGUGACAUACGCCGCGGUACUACGGAGGAUCCGUGCGUUAUGCGGAUUUAUUGGGUUUAACGGGAGCGUAGAUGGGUUGUUAAGUCAGUUGUGAAAGUUUGCGGCUCAACCGUAAAAGUGCAAUUGAUACUGGCAGUCUUGAGUACAUUUGAGGUAGGCGGAAUUCGUGGUGUAGCGGUGAAAUGCUUAGAUAUCACGAAGAACUCCGAUUGCGAAGGCAGCUUACUAAGCUGCCACUGACAUUGAUGCUCGAAAGUGUGGGUAUCAAACAGGAUUAGAUACCCCAGUAGUC
Molecule: ribosomal RNA, 460 nt
Filed under: uncultured bacterium
Lineage: Bacteria
Description: partial 16S ribosomal RNA
Rfam family: Bacterial small subunit ribosomal RNA
Source: RNAcentral